This 194-nucleotide ribosomal RNA is filed under the name Hypericum revolutum. Its description in RNAcentral is "5.8S ribosomal RNA". The stretch from base 6 to 161 matches the Rfam family "5.8S ribosomal RNA". From Rfam's summary of the family: 5.8S ribosomal RNA (5.8S rRNA) is a component of the large subunit of the eukaryotic ribosome. It is transcribed by RNA polymerase I as part of the 45S precursor that also contains 18S and 28S rRNA. Lineage: Eukaryota; Viridiplantae; Streptophyta; Magnoliopsida; Malpighiales; Hypericaceae. The record is from RNAcentral.
AAAACGACUCUCGGCAACGGAUAUCUAGGCUCUUGCAUCGAUGAAGAACGUAGCGAAAUGCGAUACUUGGUGUGAAUUGCAGAAUCCCGUGAACCAUCGAGUCUUUGAACGCAAGUUGCGCCCGAAGCCUUCUGGCCGAGGGCACGUCUGCCUGGGUGUCACACAUCGUCGCCCCCAAGCCCAACACCUCACUC